UACAGAGGUGGCAAGCGUUGUUCGGAUUUAUUGGGUGUAAAGGGCAGGUAGGCGGUUACGCAAGUCUACGGUGAAAUCCCGGAGCUUAACUCCGGAACUGCCGCGGAAACUGCGUGGCUGGAGUAUCGGAGAGGUGAGGGGAAUUCUCGGUGUAAGGGUGAAAUCUGUAGAUAUCGAGAGGAAUACCGACGGCGAAGGCACCUCACUGGCCGAUUACUGACGCUGAGCUGCGAAAGCUGGGGGAG
Molecule: ribosomal RNA, 245 nt
Filed under: uncultured bacterium
Lineage: Bacteria
Description: partial 16S ribosomal RNA
Rfam family: Bacterial small subunit ribosomal RNA
Source: RNAcentral